RNAcentral lists this unclassified non-coding RNA (178 nucleotides) under uncultured Helicoma. RNAcentral describes it as "sequence contains ITS1". The record is from RNAcentral. Lineage: Eukaryota; Fungi; Ascomycota; Dothideomycetes; Tubeufiales; Tubeufiaceae.
CUGAGUAAACGGGUCUUUUAGGCCCCUACUCCCACCCUUUGUGUACCUUACCAUAUCUUCUGUUGCCUUGGCGGGUUGGACCGCCUAAGGACCUCGCGUUCUUAGGCACCUUUCCGCCAGGGGAACACCUUUAAACUCUUAUGAAUUGAGUCGUCUGAGAAUUUAUGCAAAUAAAUUA